GACGAACGCUGGCGGCGUGCUUAACACAUGCAAGUCGAACGGAAAGGCCUCUUUCGGGGGGUACUCGAGUGGCGAACGGGUGAGUAACACGUGAGUAACCUGCCCUUGACUUUGGGAUAACUUCAGGAAACUGGGGCUAAUACCGGAUAGGAGCUCCUUCUGCAUGGUGGGGGUUGGAAAGUUUCGGCGGUUGGGGAUGGACUCGCGGCUUAUCAGCUUGUUGGUGGGGUAGUGGCUUACCAAGGCUUUGACGGGUAGCCGGCCUGAGAGGGUGACCGGCCACAUUGGGACUGAGAUACGGCCCAGACUCCUACGGGAGGCAGCAGUGGGGAAUAUUGCACAAUGGGUGGAAGCCUGAUGCAGCAACGCCGUGUGCGGGAUGACGGCCUUCGGGUUGUAAACCGCUUUCGCCCAUGACGAAGCUUUGUGUGACGGUAGUGGGUAAAGAAGCACCGGCUAACUACGUG
RNAcentral lists this ribosomal RNA (467 nucleotides) under uncultured bacterium. RNAcentral's name for it is "partial 16S ribosomal RNA". It matches the Rfam family "Bacterial small subunit ribosomal RNA", at positions 28 to 507 of the family's 1533-position model. The record is from RNAcentral.